RNAcentral lists this ribosomal RNA (253 nucleotides) under uncultured bacterium. RNAcentral's name for it is "partial 16S ribosomal RNA". It matches the Rfam family "Bacterial small subunit ribosomal RNA", at positions 524 to 776 of the family's 1533-position model. The record is from RNAcentral.
UACGUAGGGCGCAAGCGUUGUCCGGAAUUAUUGGGCGUAAAGAGCUCGUAGGCGGCCAGUUGCGUCUGCUGUGAAAUCCCGGGGCUCAACCCCGGGCGUGCAGUGGAUACGGGCUGGCUAGAGGUAGGUAGGGGAGAAUGGAAUUCCCGGUGUAGCGGUGAAAUGCGCAGAUAUCGGGAGGAACACCGGUGGCGAAGGCGGUUCUCUGGGCAAUUCCUGACGCUGAGGCGCGAAAGCGUGGGGAUCAAACAGG